AUUGAACGCUGGCGGCGUGCCUAACACAUGCAAGUCGAGCGGUAACAGGUGUAGCAAUACAUGCUGACGAGCGGCGGACGGGUGAGUAACGCUUGGGAAUCUGCCUAUUAGUGGGGGACAACCCGGGGAAACUCGGGCUAAUACCGCAUACGCUCUACGGAGGAAAGCCGGGGACCGCAAGGCCUGGCGCUAAUAGAUGAGCCCAAGUCGGAUUAGCUAGUUGGUAGGGAAUGGCCUACCAAGGCGACGAUCCGUAACUGGUCUGAGAGGACGACCAGUCACACCGGAACUGAGACACGGUCCGGACUCCUACGGGAGGCAGCAGUGGGGAAUAUUGGACAAUGGGCGAAAGCCUGAUCCAGCGACGCCGCGUGGGUGAAGAAGGCC
This 387-nucleotide ribosomal RNA is filed under the name uncultured bacterium. RNAcentral's name for it is "bacterial SSU rRNA". It matches the Rfam family "Bacterial small subunit ribosomal RNA", at positions 29 to 416 of the family's 1533-position model. The record is from RNAcentral.